GGUGCGAUGAGGAUUGCAGCCAAACAUUUCUGACACCUCUUGUGCGAGAGCGCCCCGCAAGGGACCGCCCACUGAACGUACUAUGCUGAAACGACUGAGCACC
This 103-nucleotide small nucleolar RNA is filed under the name Chlamydomonas reinhardtii. Its description in RNAcentral is "CrCD01a snoRNA". Lineage: Eukaryota; Viridiplantae; Chlorophyta; Chlorophyceae; Chlamydomonadales; Chlamydomonadaceae. The record is from RNAcentral.